AUCAGUUAUUCUUUUCUCCACCUAUCGUACCUGCAAGCAAGAAAGCAAGAACCAUUCUUCAACUUCUAUUCAAGAAACCACAUCCGGAGGAACCUCUUUGUUCACCCAACACUAUUAUCAUCCCAAUUCAACUUCAGGCAGAAGGUUGAGCGGCGACGAGGAUGUGGUGGUGUUGAGCAAGUGAACCUAAUAUGUUAUUGAUGUCUUUGAACCUUGAGUGUCGUUGUGUCGUCACACAUGACGUCACUCUUUCUCUUGGUCGUGUCCGCUGUGACGUGUCAUUAAAUUAUGAUUUAUUUGGGCCGACAACUU
Salvia splendens (bonfire salvia) is the source of this 312-nucleotide long non-coding RNA. RefSeq lists it as uncharacterized. The record is from RefSeq and is a predicted model, not a curated record. The transcript has 3 exons. Lineage: Eukaryota; Viridiplantae; Streptophyta; Magnoliopsida; Lamiales; Lamiaceae.